This 641-nucleotide ribosomal RNA is filed under the name Plasmodium vivax (malaria parasite P. vivax). RNAcentral's name for it is "SSU rRNA". It matches the Rfam family "Eukaryotic small subunit ribosomal RNA", at positions 146 to 803 of the family's 1831-position model. Lineage: Eukaryota; Apicomplexa; Aconoidasida; Haemosporida; Plasmodiidae. The record is from RNAcentral.
ACUACGGAAAAGCUGUAGCUAAUACUUGCUUUAGCACUCUUGAUUCAUUUCUUGAGUGUGUACUUGUUAAGCCUUUUAAGAAAAAAGUUAUUAACUUAAGGAAUUAUAACAAAGAAGCGACACAUAAUGGAUCCGUCCAUUUUUAGUGUGUAUCAAUCGAGUUUCUGACCUAUCAGCUUUUGAUGUUAGGGUAUUGGCCUAACAUGGCUAUGACGGGUAACGGGGAAUUAGAGUUCGAUUCCGGAGAGGGAGCCUGAGAAAUAGCUACCACAUCUAAGGAAGGCAGCAGGCGCGUAAAUUACCCAAUUCUAAAGAAGAGAGGUAGUGACAAGAAAUAACAAUACAAGGCCAAUCUGGCUUUGUAAUUGGAAUGAUGGGAAUUUAAAACCUUCCCAAAACUCAAUUGGAGGGCAAGUCUGGUGCCAGCAGCCGCGGUAAUUCCAGCUCCAAUAGCGUAUAUUAAAAUUGUUGCAGUUAAAACGCUGUAGUUGAAUUUCAAAGAAUCGAUAUUUUAAGCAACGCUUCUAGCUUAAUCCACAUAACUGAUACUUCGUAUCGACUUUGUGCGCAUUUUGCUAUUAUGUGUUCUUUUAAUUAAAAUGAUUCUUUUUAAGGACUUUCUUUGCUUCGGCUUGGAAGUC